AUUGAACGCUGGCGGCAUGCUUUACACAUGCAAGUCGAACGGCAGCGCGGGCUUCGGCCUGGCGGCGAGUGGCGAACGGGUGAGUAAUGCAUCGGAACGUGCCCAGUAGUGGGGGAUAGCCCGGCGAAAGCCGGAUUAAUACCGCAUACGACCUGAGGGUGAAAGCGGGGGACCGAAAGGCCUCGCGCUAUUGGAGCGGCCGAUGUCGGAUUAGCUAGUUGGUGGGGUAAAGGCUUACCAAGGCGACGAUCCGUAGCUGGUCUGAGAGGACGACCAGCCACACUGGGACUGAGACACGGCCCAGACUCCUACGGGAGGCAGCAGUGGGGAAUUUUGGACAAUGGGGGCAACCCUGAUCCAGCCAUGCCGCGUGCGGGAAGAAGGCCUUCGGGUUGUAAACCGCUUUUGUUCGGGAAGAAAUCCUCUGGGCUAAUACCCCGGGGGGAUGACGGUACCGGAAGAAUAAGCACCGGCUAACGACGUGC
RNAcentral lists this ribosomal RNA (485 nucleotides) under uncultured bacterium. RNAcentral describes it as "partial 16S ribosomal RNA". It matches the Rfam family "Bacterial small subunit ribosomal RNA", at positions 28 to 508 of the family's 1533-position model. The record is from RNAcentral.